AAGCAGUUUGCAGGAGAGGGGCAAGCACACAGGACUGCCCAGCACACUUGCCCACGAUGCACACUGCAGGGGCUGAGAACGUGUUGGGAAAAGCAAAGAAAUACUUGGCAGUGUCCCCAGGACUCUGGGGAUAUGAUUAACUGUUGAUCAGAGUUUCAUGGACUGAACACACAUACGCUUCCAGGGAACACACUGAACACACAUACGCUUCCAGUGUGACCUGCUCCGUGAGUGUGGCUUCAAAUUGUCUCCACCACAGGCCAACAAAUUUAGGACAAGCCUCCCUCCCCAUGCUGCAGUGGAGGAAACGGAAGCUUUAGGAAGAGAAGUGCCUUCUACAAGCUCCACGGCUGGAAAAUGGGCAAAGUCAGGACUCAAACCCUGGUGACUCCAGGGCCCCAGGCCUGGGAAAAAGACCCUGCACUUGAUGGAUCAGCUGGCACCAUUCGGAUCAAUAAACUGGCUCAUCUGAUCUUUUGACCCCCACCCAGGAACCCACUCAGCACAAGAAGGCAGCUUCUACUUCCGGUGAUUUCAUCGCUGACCAAUCAGCACUCCCGGCUCACUGGCUUCCCCCCACCCACCAAGUUGUCCUUAAAAACCCUGCUCCCCAAAUGCUCAGGGAGGCUAAUUUAAGUAGUAAUAAAAAUCCAAUCUCCUGCACAGCCGGCUGUGCGUGAAUUACUCUCUAUUGCAAUUCCCCUGUCUUGCUAAAUCUGCUCUGUCUAGGCAGCAGGCAAGGUGAGCCCCUUGGGGGGUUACGGUAGCUGUUUUCCUCUCUGGUA
This 785-nucleotide long non-coding RNA is filed under the name Homo sapiens (human). RNAcentral's name for it is "HSALNT0155192". Lineage: Eukaryota; Metazoa; Chordata; Mammalia; Primates; Hominidae. The record is from RNAcentral.